RNAcentral lists this ribosomal RNA (873 nucleotides) under Triticum aestivum (bread wheat). Its description in RNAcentral is "partial small subunit ribosomal RNA". Lineage: Eukaryota; Viridiplantae; Streptophyta; Magnoliopsida; Poales; Poaceae. The record is from RNAcentral.
AUGGGUGAUUUCAACCAAAUUUACAAGGCUCGAGAUAAAAACAAGCGCAAUGUAAACCUGAGCCGCAUAAACCGCUUCCGGGCAGCCCUAAACCUCUGCGAGCUUAGGGAGAUCCAUCUCCAGAACAGGCGCUUCACUUGGAGCAAUGAACGACAAAAUCCGACCCUAUGCAAGCUGGACUCCAUUUUCUGCAAUGACGAAUGGGACAUUCACUUUGGCUCUCAUAUCCUACACGCCUUGUCAUCAUCUCUCUCAGACCACUGCCCACUUCUCCUUGCGGAGGACAGUGGGCCUCGGCGGCCGCGCACGUUCAAAUUUGAAAAUUUCUGGACGUCCAUCCCAGGUUUCCAAGAUGUGGUGAAAGAGGCUUGGCAUCAUCAUUCCGGGCACUUCGAGCCAUGCCAGAACCUUUUCCACAAGCUUAAGAGGACUGGGGCUUGCUUGUCCAAAUGGAGCAGGACACUUUUCUCCCAAGCUAAGAUCCACUUUCGCGCAGCACUCAUGGUCAUCCUCAGACUAGAUGUGGCCCAGGAGACAAGAGAAUUGUCGGCCGGAGAGAUUGAGCUUCGGGCUAGGCUCAAGAGGAGAGUUAUCGGUCUCGCAGUGAUCGAGCGCUCAAGGAAAAAGCAGUGCUCCAGAAUAAGGAAUUUAAAAGAAGGGGACGCCAAUACUAAGUUUUUCCACCUGAGGGUGAAGAGAAGGAAAAAUCACAUCCACCGUCUCAAGCACAACAAUGGCUGGAUCACUGGGCAUUUUCAGAAAGAGGAGAUCAUUUUUGAGCACUUCUCUAGUGCUUUGGGCAGGGAUGGCAGGCAAGAGAAGGACUUCAACUGGGAUAACUUCAACUUUCCCGAAGUGGACUUGCACGAGCUU